UACGUAGGGUGCAAGCGUUAAUCGGAAUUACUGGGCGUAAAGGGCGCGUAGGCGGCGCGGUAAGUCACUUGUGAAAUCUCUGAGCUUAACUCAGAACGGCCAAGUGAUACUGCAGUGCUAGAGUGCAGAAAGGGCAAUCGGAAUUCUUGGUGUAGCGGUGAAAUGCGUAGAUAUCAAGAGGAACACCUGAGGCGAAGGCGGGUUGCUAGGCUGACACUGACGCUGAGUGCGCGAAAGCCAGGGGAGCAAACGGG
This 254-nucleotide ribosomal RNA is filed under the name uncultured bacterium. RNAcentral describes it as "partial 16S ribosomal RNA". It matches the Rfam family "Bacterial small subunit ribosomal RNA", at positions 524 to 776 of the family's 1533-position model. The record is from RNAcentral.